Long non-coding RNA from Maniola jurtina (meadow brown), 109 nucleotides. RefSeq lists it as uncharacterized. The transcript is spliced from 3 exons. Lineage: Eukaryota; Metazoa; Arthropoda; Insecta; Lepidoptera; Nymphalidae. The record is from RefSeq and is a predicted model, not a curated record.
AGUGUUAACCGUGUACUAAGGUUUGCAUAUUUAGUAUUUUAACCUAUUGUGAUGUAUUUAUGAUGUGAAUGGAGUGUUAACUAUGAUAUUGAAACGAAAACUCAUUUUU